UGUGUGUGAGCAUGUACACCUUGUUUCACUCUUUCCCUCCUUUCCUCACUUCCCUCCUCCUCCCUCUGAAGCUUUUACUAUCCUUCUUCUAUUCUUAGAAUUUUUGAAUUUUCAUUCCUUGUCCCAGGAAAUCAGGUUUGCAGAAGGAAGAACUAAACAUACAUGUUUCAACAGCCAUAUUUACUGGGAACCCCUCUGCGCUCCAGCACAAGAGUGUUUGUGUGCUCGGUGGUUUUUUACUACAAUUUGUAGAACUGAAGUUAAAUUUAUUAUUUCUAAAUUAACCAAAGAGAAAAAUCACAGCAGCAUUUCACCCUUCGUUGGUGCAAUGUUCAAAUGUGCAGAGUUGGUGCAAUGUUCAACUGUGCAGAAUAAAUAGCGUUGUCUCAGAGGUAAGUACCUGCAGAAGGUAAAAGUAGAUCAUUUAGCCUCCAAUUAGUAGUAUUUCAGCAGAACCCACUGCCAGUGUUCUCUGCAGCAGUUAGAGCAUUCGAACGUGUCACGUUGGGUGGUAUAAAUGUUUCUACUUUCAGUAUUCAGUUGUUUUAAUCUGCAUCGGACACCUUUCAAGUGGAGUGGAGUCCUGAACCUCUUCCUCUUUCCCCCAAGCAGCCCUUAUCCCACAGCGUGGGCUUGGCAACUGAGGUAAAGGACUCUCUCCCCACUCAGAAAAGCGAGAGGCCUAACACAGAUCAACCUCACAGUGCUACACUGAAUCCAAAAGUGGUUAUACAAGGAGGGUAGACUUGCUAAAUAAAAAGUGAAACAAUUAAAAAGUGAAGCAGAGUGUGGUAUUCAAAUGAGACCUGGCUAUCAACAAAACAAAACCAUUCACUAGUCAAUGCUCAGCACACUUCAGUCACAUCAAAAACAGCUCUUGAAUUAAAGACUGCAUUACAGUUUUCUUCUGCCAGUUGCUACUCCCUUUCCUGUCUUGACACGGUACUAGAAUGCUUUCGGUUUUCCUUCUUUUUUUUUUUAACUUUCUUUUUAUUUUUUUCUAUUUGAAUUAAGAGAGAUCCAUUACACUAAAACUAGUUUUUUAAAAAAGCCAAAAAUGACUUGUGAACAAGUCAUUUGCUAUUUAUAAUUAGAAAUACUUUCUAAGAAUGAUUCAUUAGAUUAACUGAACUUUCACUGGGCAAACCUAUUCUUAAAAUGAUUUAUAUGUUGUUCUGCAAGGCCACGGAAAUAGAAAUAACAAAUUGGUGUAAGAUCCUCCAGUGUCUAGGACAUAACCCAGAACUGUUACCGUGGGUCCCCAGAUGUGCCUUUCCAGCAUGGCUUGGCAGUCAGACUUGUGGCUUUAGAUUCCCUAAAAUUAUUCUCCUUUACAAUUUGAAAUUAAUAUUGAUGUUGAUGGAAUAACAUUAUUAUCUUUUGGGUAUUUGUGGAACCAUUCUGCUCAUUCUGUGUUCUGGUUUCUCCUUAUUACCUAUUUUCAUUUCUUAAAAGGCCUGUCAUGUAGUCUGUGGUUUAAUUCUCUGUUGGCCCCUAUGAGUCCAUGACAUGUUCCGGGCCUGUUCAACUGGUGUAUUUGCAUUUUGCUGCCAGGAGGUUGUGCUAUAAACAAUGGGGUUGAGACACCAGCAUGAGCCAGGGGAUGAAAUUUUAUUUUAAAAUCUGAAAUGCUGUGUAAGCAUUUAAGGUAUGAAUCGGUAAUUGUUUCAGUAACAGCUUCCAUUAGAUAUGGUUUAUUUGUAGUCCAUCCUCUUUUCAAGGAUCCAGGGGAGUGUUAACACACUGGAGCAGACUGCAUAUCAUUUACAUUUUUAAACCAGCAUUAAAGGAAAAUGACCAUAACUUUCGAGAGUUCUAAAUAUUGGGAGAGAUUUUAUGCCUCCAUCCUUAGAGAAAACAGUUUUAAUUUUUCAUUUGAAAAUAAGAAAAGAAACCUCCCUUUGCUUUGAGGAAGGAUUUGAAUGAUUCUGAAACCAAGAAAUACCUUUUUAAAAAAGAAAAGUCUGGUUCGAAGACUGAGAGCUCUUUUCUCCCCUCUAAUGAAAUCUGUAGAAUACAAACUUUUAAAAAUCAUCUGUCUCAUUUGAGAUUCAAGAUCAUCAAAUUCUGUCUAAAUAUUUUGUUUUAACUUCUAAGCUCAUUAUGGUUUCUUUGUGUUAACUUGUAUUAAAAUCUGUCAGCUAUGACUGGUCUCAUAAGCACAGUCAGCGGACCAGAAUAAGUUAAUUAUUUACUUGUGUCACUAGUGCUCUUCAUCUAAUGAAAUGCACAGCUGUGUUAGAUCUGCAGUUGGAUGUGUAGCUUCCAUUGUUCGGCGAGUCAGCAGAGGGUAGAAGCCCCAGUGAUGGAGAGCCCUCAGUUCUUUCUGCUGUUCUGGCUUUCUGUGUCGAUUUCAUGGAUCUUUUAUCAUUCACUUUCACACAAAACAAACAACACAGGGCUGUCUGCUAUGGGAACCAUCUUGGCAUAUAAAAGGGUUUUCAGAGCCUAAAGUAAUUUUAAGUUAGCUAAGAUUUAAUUUUUGGCUUACAGGUGCCCUUGAUUCGGAUGUGACCAAAGCAGUUCCUCUAAUGGAAUGAAAAAUUUCCAGAGUUACUUAUAUGUUUUUAAACGCAGCAUCAAAAAGGGGCCAAUGGAGUUAUUUCCCCCCAAAAAAGAAAGCGUACUACAUUUUACUCAGAUUUCAAGCAAAGUUAUUAGUUUCAGAUUUCAGGGGAAGGAGCAUUGCUUUCAUUUUAAUAGCGGAGUUAAAUGGGCCUGAUUAAAUGUGUCAACGAAAACUAAAAAUACCAGAUGCAAAUCCCCUCUCCUAACCUCCCCCCUUGUAAGUAUUCCCUACUUCUCCUUGAGCUUCUGUACCUCCUGCCCCUCACUCCCACCUUCUCCAGUUAGGGGGUGGACGCCAGCUUCCCCCUGUGAACUGUUGCUGAAGGGUGCCGAGGUCUUCCUUUGGUUUUGUUUUUAAGGGAUCUAGCCAAGCCUCCACCUCCUCAACAGCCAAAGUGACAUUCUGUCCAGAGCACGUCCCAGGACCAGCCUCUGCAGGAAUUGCCGUUUUUAACAUUUUGGUCACUGCCACACAAUGUUGUUGUCGAUGUACCUAGAUUUACAAUUUGAUCUCUUUCAGAGAAGAUUUCCCAGUAGCCCAAGUGUUUGUCAGAUAAUUUCAGUGUGGACAAGAUGGAUUUUUAGAGGGAAGAAAGAAGGGGUCACACACUCAGCUUGAUUUAAAUUCUAAUAUAUUGUAGUUGAAUUUGAAAUAAACUGAACUGAAUGAUCGUUUCUGUGCUUCAUGUAGGAAAGCAUAUGUUCUUUUAUAAUAAAACAGUACAAUUUCAACCAAAAAGCCAAUUAAAUGUACCUACAGGCUCUAGAAUUCAACACCACAAACCUGAUUACCAUAUUGUUGGCAGCCACUAGAAAUCAGAAUAUUAAUAACCAAUACUGAAAUAAGCAAAUGGCUUUCUUUUUCUUUAGACUUUAGCUCUUGGUGAUUAUAACAUAUCACAAAAAAAAUUAUUUUAAAAUAGUUUGAGUGAUUAUGUAGAAAUCAAACUGAGGAAUUAAGUUUCUUGGAGAGCAUUUUUUUUCAGUAGGUACAGAUUGUUGAUAACUUUAUAUACAAAGGAAAAGAAAUUUUAUCUUAGGAUAAAAGGAUCUUAUUUCUUUGUUCAAAGCCACUGCACAUUCCCAAUUUUAAAUUAUGUAGAUUGGGGUUAACAAUCCAAAUUAUGCCCUUAUCCGUCCUACCAAGAAAGAGAAAUUAAAAACAAUUUAAGCAACAGAAUCUCCUACAGGUUAGAUUAAUAUGAAGAGAAUAAUAAAAUACAGUUAAUUUUAGAGACAAUAGUGUGCAUAGAGCUGGUAGGUUUUUGUUUUAUUCUGUUUCUGUUCUUAGAAUUCUUCUAAUUCUAGCCUUUUCUUCCAAUAAUAACCUGGCAUUUAAUUUUCUUGUUCAACUUUACAACUUCAAUCAGAGAUCACUUUCUAAUGUGUUGUCAGCUAUAGGAAUUAAAAUUCCUUAGGGUGGUUUAGGCUCAGCCAGGGAAGCCCUGGCAAAAGCUAACCAACCAGCCAGUGCUCUGGUUGCCCCAUUAGCACAUCAGCCACACACGAAUACUUUUUGUCACCGUUUUUUUAAAACCACAAUGUCAAUACACUUUUCAGGUAGUUCUGUGUUUGAUAGAGGAGUCGGAUCCCUCUGAGGUGGGUGUACUAGGCAGCAGAUCACAGACUAGCUUAUGAGGAGCAGAAUUGCUGUGGACUGGAAACUUCAGAGAUGGUGACAGGGCCAGGGCCCAAAGUCACCAUCUUGGCUUCCAUGGCACAGGAGGUUGUGUGAGCAGCUUAGCAGCACCAUCAUUGUGUCAUGCUAGCAGUCGGGUCCGCAGGCUGCAAUGCCUCCCUGCAAUGAAAUGCCAUUUUCAAAUGCUUUAUUGCUGGAAAUUGCUUUUGUUACUCUUGGUAGAGACCACAGAGACAGAGAUAAAGGUAGCAGGGGGAGAUUCCAAUUAAGUACCAUAGUCAUCUCUUCUCCACACGUGCUGUACAUGGCAUGAGAUCUUCUCUU
This is a long non-coding RNA of Canis lupus familiaris (dog), 4531 nucleotides long. RefSeq lists it as uncharacterized. The transcript has 3 exons. Lineage: Eukaryota; Metazoa; Chordata; Mammalia; Carnivora; Canidae. The record is from RefSeq and is a predicted model, not a curated record.